RNAcentral lists this transfer RNA (63 nucleotides) under Pleurobranchaea sp. TY-2016. Its description in RNAcentral is "tRNA-Arg". Lineage: Eukaryota; Metazoa; Mollusca; Gastropoda; Pleurobranchida; Pleurobranchidae. The record is from RNAcentral.
UUGUUUGAAAGCGAAAUAAUCGCGCUAAGUUUCGGCCUUAGUCUUGGGAUUUCCCUCAAAUAU